GUGGGAGCUGGCUUGCCUGCGAUGGCGGAGUGUCAGUCAAUCAUUUAUUAGCUGAUCCACCGCUAUCGCAGGCAAGCCAGCUCCCAC
RNAcentral lists this unclassified non-coding RNA (87 nucleotides) under Pseudomonas yamanorum. Lineage: Bacteria; Pseudomonadati; Pseudomonadota; Gammaproteobacteria; Pseudomonadales; Pseudomonadaceae. The record is from RNAcentral.